Non-coding RNA from Pimephales promelas (fathead minnow), 188 nucleotides. The record is from RefSeq and is a predicted model, not a curated record. Lineage: Eukaryota; Metazoa; Chordata; Actinopteri; Cypriniformes; Leuciscidae.
AAAUGGGUUUGUGUCUUCGUAAAAAGUCCGUUAGCAUCUCAACCGUUUUCAGAAGAGUCUAGAAGAUCAUCAUGCUGAAGUCCGGCUGCACCCCCUGUCCAAGACAAUCUCCACGGCUAUGAACUCGAUUAAUGAGAUAUAGUCGUUUGGCCCUGUGAUUCUUCAGGACAAGAUCUUGAUGACAUCCA